UGAGGAAUAUUGGACAAUUGGCGCAAGCCUGAUCCAGCCAUGUCGCGUGCACGAAGAAGCAUCUAUGGUGUGUAAACUGCUUUUUUACUGGAAGAAACACUCCUUCGUGAAGGAGCUUGACGGUACCGUAAGAAUAAGGAUCGGCUAACUCCGUGCCAGCAGCCGCGGUAAUACGGAGGAUCCAAGCGUUAUCCGGAAUCAUUGGGUUUAAAGGGUCCGUAGGCGGUUUAGUAAGUCAGUGGUGAAAGCCCAUCGCUCAACGAUGGAACGGCCAUUGAUACUGCUAGACUUGAAUUAUUAGGAAGUAACUAGAAUAUGUAGUGUAGCGGUGAAAUGCUUAGAUACUACAUGGAAUACCAAUUGCGAAGGCAGGUUACUACUAAUGGAUUGACGCUGAUGGACGAAAGCGUGGGGAGCGAACA
Molecule: ribosomal RNA, 422 nt
Filed under: uncultured bacterium
Lineage: Bacteria
Description: bacterial SSU rRNA
Rfam family: Bacterial small subunit ribosomal RNA
Source: RNAcentral